AAUAGAUACCCUGGUAGUCCACGCCGUAAACGAUGAGUGCUAGGUGUCGCGGGUUUUGACCCCUGCGGUGCCGUAGCUAACGCAUUAAGCACUCCGCCUGGGGAGUACGGCCACAAGGCUAAAACUCAAAGGAAUUGACGGGGGCCCGCACAAGCGGUGGAGCAUGUGGUUCAAUUCGACGCAACGCGCAGAACCUUACCUGGGCUAGAAAAUGCAAGAACCUGGUUGAAAGAUCGGGGUGCCCUUCGGGGAGCUUGUAGUUAGGUGCUGCGUGGCUGUCGUCAGCUCGUGUCGUGAGAUGUUGGGUUAAGUCCCGCAACGAGCGCAACCCUUGUCGUUAGUUGCCAGCGGUUCGGCCGGGCACUCUAGCGAGACUGCCGAUAUUUAAAUCGGAGGAAGGUGGGGAUGACGCCAAGUCAUCAUGGCCCUUAUGUCCAGGGCUACACACGUGCUACAAUGAUCGGUACAAACGGUCGCGAACCCGCGAGGGGAAGCUAAUCCGAAAAAACCGACCUCAGUACGGAUAAGAGUCUGCAACUCGACUCGUUU
Molecule: ribosomal RNA, 549 nt
Filed under: uncultured bacterium
Lineage: Bacteria
Description: bacterial SSU rRNA
Rfam family: Bacterial small subunit ribosomal RNA
Source: RNAcentral